Molecule: non-coding RNA, 120 nt
Organism: Populus trichocarpa (black cottonwood)
Lineage: Eukaryota; Viridiplantae; Streptophyta; Magnoliopsida; Malpighiales; Salicaceae
Source: Rfam
UAAUCUGUCCGAGGCAAAUCCUUAUCUAGUUAUGGUAGACCCACACUUGACUGCUUAAAACCACCCGUUAUGAUAGGCCCGACUACAUCAAAUAUUUUAUAUUUAUUAAAUUAUCAAAUU